AUCGAAGAGGCGCAGCCAACACUAGUAACUAGCUGGAGCGAUGCCAAGCAAUGAUGGUUAGUGAACAGGGCGGUUGCCGAAGCGUUCAGUCAGGCAGGACUGGAUUGGCUGGGGCGUGAUUGAAUAAGUCACGGACUGUCGCAGGACGAUAAGAGCCUGCGUUGCGCUAUC
RNAcentral lists this non-coding RNA (171 nucleotides) under uncultured Limosilactobacillus sp. Its description in RNAcentral is "Lysine riboswitch". It matches the Rfam family "Lysine riboswitch aptamer". From Rfam's summary of the family: Riboswitches are metabolite binding domains within certain messenger RNAs that serve as precision sensors for their corresponding targets. Allosteric rearrangement of mRNA structure is mediated by ligand binding, and this results in modulation of gene expression. Lineage: Bacteria; Bacillati; Bacillota; Bacilli; Lactobacillales; Lactobacillaceae. The record is from RNAcentral.